Molecule: long non-coding RNA, 1194 nt
Filed under: Octopus vulgaris (common octopus)
Lineage: Eukaryota; Metazoa; Mollusca; Cephalopoda; Octopoda; Octopodidae
Source: RNAcentral
GCUUGGUUUAAAAAAGUCUGUAUUAUAUUUUUAAGUGUAUUUUGAAGCAAUUAAAAAGGAAAAAAUUGGUAACAUUAAUUUUGUAAAUCACAAAAGAUUGAUAACAUGAUAUCCACAACCAUCAGAAAUUAGUUCGUUUCACUCUUUACCGUGUCGGUUUUUUUGAAAUGUCUUACAAUUCAAUUUUUUGUUGAAACGUCUCUUAAGCUAAAUUAAAGACAUUUCACAUUAAUCCCAGAUUUAUAUAAAACACCAGGUAAGUAAUUAAUAUACAUUUCGGUUAAGUCGAAAUCUCCGAAUGCCUUGCUUUUUUAUGUGUAUGAAAUAUACCGUGGUCCCUUUCUCUUAGUAUCGGCGAUGGUUUGUCUACGUGUAUAUUCGGCUAAAUUUGGGCAAGUGUAUCCGAAAGAUAUACCUCUGUUUAUACGAUAUAUAUGAAAACAAAUAUUCACUUAUAAUGAUAGAAAAACCAAAAUGAUUACUGCUCUCUGACUGUCGUUCUGGGCAUAGUUUACGAUUACGAGAACAAUGAUACAGUGGCACAGUACCAAGGGAACAGGAUUGGGGAGUUGGAGGCAAGCAUCGUGCAUGAAUCGGAAAUGUGAGGAAGCGAAGAGAUAUAGAGACGUAGCUUGGUUUGGCGUGGUAAAGUGUGAGAAGUUUUCUUGUUAAAAGUGGGUGAAACACAGCUUCUAGAAUUCAGUUGCACAUUUAUUUGGGUACUACUAGAACAGUGGUCCGGUGCGCGCACUCGCGCAUCCACACUAGCUAGUUGUAAGUAGUCGAUCCUAGAACGACUCUUUAACCCUAAACGUAACCCUAACCUUUGUUUAUAAAAAUAAUUUAUUUAAUUUGUGUAAAAAAAUUAUUACAUUGUUUUAUAUAAGCAGUUUUGAAGAGAGCAGGUUAGUUAACACUGUGGACCACAGUAUUUUACUGGUACUUUAUGUUUAUCGACUCCUUGGAUAACCGAAUUGACCACUUUGCUGGCCUCUGGUCAACAAUGACAAGGAGUGGGGAGAGGAUUGUUGGAAAGUUGACACGAUACGUUUUUUUUUUUCCCUUCAUAACUUUCAGGAUCGAGUUUGGCGCCCUAUCACGAACAUGACGAAAAACCAGUCUAACGUUCAAAAUCGUUGGAAGAGGUUAUCGACUCCUUGGAUAGCCAAGGUGUCAAUGUUGACCACCUUGCUG